This is a long non-coding RNA of Oncorhynchus keta (chum salmon), 296 nucleotides long. RefSeq lists it as uncharacterized. Lineage: Eukaryota; Metazoa; Chordata; Actinopteri; Salmoniformes; Salmonidae. The transcript is spliced from 3 exons. The record is from RefSeq and is a predicted model, not a curated record.
CACGAACCACAAUACAAAACAGGCUACCUAAAUAUGGUUCCCAAUCGCAAAUAAUGGUCUGAGUGUGACAGUGGGCAUAAUCAGACAGGAUGGAUUCUACCUCUCCUCACCACUCGUCUGUUGUACAGGUCAGACAGGAUGGAUUCUACCUCUCCUCACCACUCGUCUGUUGUACAGGUCAGACAGGAUGGAUUCUACCUCUCCUCACCACUCGUCUGUUGUACAGGUCAGACAGGAUGGAUUCUACCUCUCCUCACCACUCGUCUGUUGUACAGGUCAGACAGGAUGGAUUCUAC